GACAGGAAGGAGGCGUGGACUUCAAUCUGGAAAGUCUCUGCGGGCCCUUCUCCCUCCCCCUUAGCAAGUCUGGGAACUCUGCCCCAGCCUGGUCCUCGCUCCCCCGCCCUCGCCUCUCCGCGCUUUCAUCAGAAUUCAAUUUCCGCCCGUAAUUCUCCAUUUCCCUAUAAAAUGAAAAUUCAUCUAGAAUUACAUCUUAUGUCAUCAUUAUGUUUAUUAAGCGUGGAUGAUGUAUAUGAACAGGACGGGCUUGCUGCUGAGUGCUUAAUGGUGCAUAAGAUUAAGCCGAGGCUCUCAGCUGCGCAGCGACUC
RNAcentral lists this long non-coding RNA (312 nucleotides) under Homo sapiens (human). Its description in RNAcentral is "HSALNT0167118". Lineage: Eukaryota; Metazoa; Chordata; Mammalia; Primates; Hominidae. The record is from RNAcentral.